UGCGUAGGUGGUGCCGUAAGUCAGGUGUGAAAUCUCGGGGCCCAACCCCGAAACUGCACUUGAUACUGCGGUGCUUGAGGACUGGAGAGGAGAUUGGAAUUCAUGGUGUAGCAGUGAAAUGCGUAGAUAUCAUGAGGAAGACCAGUGGCGAAGGCGGAUCUCUGGACAGUUCCUGACACUGAGGCACGAAGGCCAGGGGAGCAAACG
This 207-nucleotide ribosomal RNA is filed under the name uncultured bacterium. RNAcentral's name for it is "partial 16S ribosomal RNA". It matches the Rfam family "Bacterial small subunit ribosomal RNA", at positions 568 to 774 of the family's 1533-position model. The record is from RNAcentral.